CAGCAGCCGCGGUAAUAAGAAGGGUGCAAGCGUUAAUCGGAAUUACUGGGCGUAAAGCGCGCGUAGGUGGUUUGGUAAGAUGGAUGUGAAAUCCCCGGGCUCAACCUGGGAACUGCAUCCAUAACUGCCUGACUAGAGUACGGUAGAGGGUGGUGGAAUUUCCUGUGUAGCGGUGAAAUGCGUAGAUAUAGGAAGGAACACCAGUGGCGAAGGCGACCACCUGGACUGAUACUGACACUGAGGUGCGAAAGCGUGGGGAGCAAACAGGAUUAGAUACCCGAGUAGUCCCUGUCUCUUAUAC
Molecule: ribosomal RNA, 301 nt
Filed under: uncultured bacterium
Lineage: Bacteria
Description: partial 16S ribosomal RNA
Rfam family: Bacterial small subunit ribosomal RNA
Source: RNAcentral